This 216-nucleotide ribosomal RNA is filed under the name uncultured Lactobacillus sp. RNAcentral describes it as "partial 16S ribosomal RNA". It matches the Rfam family "Bacterial small subunit ribosomal RNA", at positions 147 to 355 of the family's 1533-position model. Lineage: Bacteria; Bacillati; Bacillota; Bacilli; Lactobacillales; Lactobacillaceae. The record is from RNAcentral.
CACCUAGGAAACAGAUGCUAAUACCGGAUAACAACAGAUGAUGCCUAUCAACUGUUUAAAAGAUGGUUCUGCUAUCACUCUUGGAUGGACCUGCGAUGCAUUAGCUAGUUGGUAGGGUAACGGCCUACCAAGGCGAUGAUGCAUAGCCGAGUUGAGAGACUGAUCGGCCACAUUGGGACUGAGACACGGCCCAAACUCCUACGGGAGGCAGCAGCC